Long non-coding RNA from Rhincodon typus (whale shark), 2518 nucleotides. RefSeq lists it as uncharacterized. The transcript is spliced from 2 exons. The record is from RefSeq and is a predicted model, not a curated record. Lineage: Eukaryota; Metazoa; Chordata; Chondrichthyes; Orectolobiformes; Rhincodontidae.
UGUGUUCACCGUCUCCGGACACUGCCCGCUGGACGCUGUCUGUGUUCCCCGUCUCCGGACACUGCCCGCUGGACGCUGUCUCUGUUCACCGUUUGUGUCUACUCUCUUCAGAAACUGCCUACUGUCCACUAUCUCUGGAUACUGACCACUGUCUCCGGACACUUCCCAUUGUUUCUGUCCACAGUCCAUACACUGUCCCGUGUCCAAAAACUGUACAGUCUCUAUGGACAUUGUCCCUGGACAGAGCCCACUGUCCGGACACUGCCCACUGUCUCUGGUCAGUGCCCCUAUCCACUGUCUCCAAACACCGUCCUCUGCCUCCAGGCACUGUCUACUUUCUUCAGACACAGUCCAGAGUCUCCGGACAUUGUCUCUGGACACUGUUCACUAUGUCCACACACUUUGUCUGGUUAUUGUAAUUUGUCCACUAUCUCUGCCUCUGACCCACUGUCUCCACCUGUGUUCCACGAAGUUUAAAAUUUGGGUCGCCUUUUCAGGACAGAAAUUAGGAGAAUUUUCUUUUUGUCAGGAGAUUAUGUCACUUUGGCACUCUGCUUCAGAAGGCAAUGGAGGUGGGUCAUUGAAUAUUUUUAAGGUGGAGCUGGAUAGAUUCUUGUUGGGCAGGGGAAUCAACGGCGAUUGGGAAUGGAUGGGAAGGUGGAAUUCAAAACACAAACAGAUCAGUUUUAUCUUAUUAAAUGACAGAGCAGGCUUGGGGGGACAAAUCGUAGAAUCCCCACAUUGUGGAAGCAGGCCACCUGCCCCAUCAAAUCCACACUGAACCCUGAACAGCAUCCCACCCAGACUUGAACCGCUGCAUUUCUCAUGGCCAAUCCACCUGACCUGCACAAAAUCUUUGGACUGUGAGAGGAAACCGGAGAAAACACACGCAGACGUGGGGAGGUUUUAAUUGUUAAGGAUAAUCUGUCUCACCACCCAAAUGGAUCUGAGGAGGAGGGCGACCAGAACUGCACACAAUACUUUGGAAGAGGCCUCACCAACAUCCUGUACAACCUCAACAUGAUGUCCCAACACCUAUACUCAAAGGUCUGAGCAAUGAAGGCAAGUGUGCUAAAUGUCUUCUCAACCACUACCAUACAAGGGCAGUAGAUAUCAAUACCUGCAAGUCCCUCUCCACACCACUCACCAUCCUAACUUGGACAUACAUUGCUGUGCCUUCAAUGUCAAAAUCCAGGAACUGCCUCCUUAUCGGAUUGUAAGUGUACCUAAACAAAAAUGGAUUACAGUGGUUCAAGAAGGCAGCUCAUUAACACCUUCUCUAGGGCAAUUAGGGAUGGACAAUAAAUAGCUCAGCUUGUAUCACAUCCCAUCAACACUUGAGGCAGCACAUUCCACAUAAAACACUCCCUAUAUAAAAAUAUCUCCUCCUUUCAUUCUUUUGCCAAUCAUUUCAAAUCACUGACUUCUGGGUCUUGACCCUUCCACCAAUGGGAACAGUUUCUCUCUAACUACUUUGUCAAAUCACUAAAGAUUCUAUCAAAUCUCCUCCUGACCUUCUCAAGAGAGAACAGCCCCAUCUUUGCCAACCAAUCCCUGGAACUGAAGUCACUGAUUUUUGGAGGCCGUAAGUAUUCCCCGUCUAAAACCUGAAGUGCAGUGCUCAGAAAUGGACAUAAUUACCCUGUUAAGGUAUAACCAAUGUUUUGUAAAGUUACACCAUAACUCAAUGCCUCUUUUUAAAAAAUUUGUUCAUAGGAUGUAUGUGCUGGCCAACAUUUAUUGCCCAUCCUGAGUUGUUGUGCAGAGGCACAGACUGGUAAGAAUAUUUUUUUUAAAAACAACAGUGGUUAGGCCAGAUUUUUUUAAAUUAUUGAAUUCAAAUUUCACCAUCAGCCUUGGUGAGAUUUGAACCUACAUUCCCACAACACUAGAGUGGCUUUCUGGAUUACUAACUCAGUGAUAUUACCACUAUGCCACCCGUCUGGGCACUAUCCCUGGACAUUGUUCCCUCUCUGUCUCUGUGGACACCGCCUAUGGACAUUGUACAUCUCUCUUUCUCGGAUGCUGUGUCUAGACAUUGUACCCGCGUGCUCUGGAUAAUGUCUUUAGACAUUACACAUUUCGCUCUGCACACUCUUUGAACAUUGUUCCAUCUCUCUGGAUGCGAUCUCUGGACGUUGUGCCCUCUAUCUCUGGACACUAUUGCUGGACAUUGAAGAAUUUUCCAUUGAUUCCCACUGACACCAGUUUUGCUGUGCACCUUGAUGCCACAGUCAGUCAAAUGCUGCCUUGAUGAGUUGUUCGUUUGUUAAUUUAUUUUUGUUUAGUUGAAAGGUGUAUGCAGUAAAUGUUUCUUGCAUUCCCACAGUCUUGACACAUUAGAAAUAUUUCAUUGGCUGUAAAUGCACUUGAGACUUCUUGAGGUUAGAAAAAGCGCUGCAAGUUAUUUCUCCUUCUAUCUCUCUUGUCUUCUCCUUUUUGAAAAAAAUUGUGAUAUUCGCUUCCAUUGAACAUAUGAAUAAAUACAGAGAAGUUGGUGCCACAGCAGUUUAAUCAA